This 291-nucleotide long non-coding RNA is filed under the name Bos taurus (domestic cattle). RNAcentral's name for it is "long non-coding RNA NONBTAT014880". The record is from RNAcentral. Lineage: Eukaryota; Metazoa; Chordata; Mammalia; Artiodactyla; Bovidae.
UAAAAGUAUAGCCAGUGUAGUUGUUUGUCUCUGUUUUCCAGUGCAAACAUCUCCUUUAUUAUGCAUGUUUUGAUAAAAGAAAAACUCCUAAUGUUAAAGAAAUGAUUGAUUUCUUCCAUCAAUCUUUGGCUACUGCUAAAACCUUACAACCUGUAGGCAUAACACCUGUAGGCAUAAUACAUUAAAAACUCAGUUCAGUGUUUCAUGCUGAAAGUGGGACUCUAUUAGAGGGAAGCUUUUAAUGUUUGUAUAGGGUCUGACAUACUGGAUUUUAUUUAACAGCUGAGUUUC